This 912-nucleotide ribosomal RNA is filed under the name uncultured bacterium. Its description in RNAcentral is "bacterial SSU rRNA". It matches the Rfam family "Bacterial small subunit ribosomal RNA", at positions 1 to 898 of the family's 1533-position model. The record is from RNAcentral.
CCCUUAGAGUUUGAUCCUGGCUCAGAAUCAACGCUGGCGGCGUGCCUAAUACAUGCAAGUCGAACGCGAAAGUGGAGCAAUCCAUGAGUAGAGUGGCAAACGGGUGAGUAACACGUGGGUGACCUGCCUUCGAGUGGGGGAUAACGUCCCGAAAGGGACGCUAAUACCGCAUAACAUCCUGCCUUUUAAGAGGUGGAGAUCAAAGCCGGGGAUCGCAAGACCUGGCGCUUGUAGAGGGGCCCGCGCCUGAUUAGCUAGUUGGUGAGGUAAUGGCUCACCAAGGCAACGAUCAGUAUCCGGCCUGAGAGGGCGGACGGACACACUGGGACUGAGACACGGCCCAGACUCCUACGGGAGGCAGCAGUAGGGAAUUGUUCGCAAUGGGCGCAAGCCUGACGACGCAACGCCGCGUGGAGGAUGAAGAUCUUCGGGUCGUAAACUCCUUUCGAUCGAGACGAAUGGCUUCCGGCUUAAUACGCUGGGAGAAUGACGGUACCGAGAGAAGAAGCCCCGGCUAACUCCGUGCCAGCAGCCGCGGUAAUACGGGGGGGGCAAGCGUUGUUCGGAAUUACUGGGCGUAAAGGGCUCGUAGGUGGCCAACUAAGUCAGACGUGAAAUCCCUCGGCUUAACCGGGGAACUGCGUCUGAUACUGGAUGGCUUGAGAUUGGGAGAGGGAUGCGGAAUUCCAGGUGUAGCGGUGAAAUGCGUAGAUAUCUGGAGGAACACCGGUGGCGAAGGCGGCAUCCUGGACCAACACUGACACUGAGGAGCGAAAGCCAGGGGAGCAAACGGGAUAGAUACCCCGGUAGUCCUGGCCCUAAACGAUGAAUGCUUGGUGUGACGGGUAUCGAUCCCUGUCGUGCCGAAGCUACGCAUAAGCAUCCGCCUGGGGAGUACGGUCGCAAGCUGAA